Molecule: ribosomal RNA, 400 nt
Filed under: uncultured bacterium
Lineage: Bacteria
Description: bacterial SSU rRNA
Rfam family: Bacterial small subunit ribosomal RNA
Source: RNAcentral
UUAGGAAUCUUCCACAAUGGGCGAAAGCCUGAUGGAGCGACGCCGCGUGAGGGAUGAAGGCCUUAGGGUUGUAAACCUCUAAAAGAGGGACGAUAAUGACGGUACCUCUUGAAUAGCACCGGCUAACUCCGUGCCAGCAGCCGCGGUAAUACGGAGGGUGCAAGCGUUAUCCGGAAUCACUGGGCGUAAAGGGCGCGUAGGCGGUCUGUUAAGUCCGAUGUUAAAUCCCGGGGCUCAACCCCGGAUAAGCGUUGGAUACUGGCAGGCUAGACGGCUGGAGAGGCGAGUGGAAUUACCAGUGUAGCGGUGGAAUGCGUAGAUACUGGUAGGAACACCCAUUGCGAAGGCAGCUCGCUGGACAACACGUGACGCUGAGGCGCGAAAGUGUGGGGAGCAAACC